GAUACGUCUUCAGAGUUUGAUCCUGGCUCAGGAUGAACGCUAGCUACAGGCUUAACACAUGCAAGUCGAGGGGCAGCAUGAAUAUUGGCUUGCCAAUAUUUGAUGGCGACCAGCGCACGGGUGAGUAACACGUAUCCAACCUUCCGGUUACUCGGGGAUAGGCUUUCGAAAGAAAGAUUAAUACCCGAUGUUGCGUAUCUUUCUCCUGAAAGAUACGCCAAAGGAUUCCGGUAACCGAUGGGGAUGCGUUCCAUUAGGCAGUUGGCGGGGUAACGGCCCACCAAACCUUCGAUGGAUAGGGGUUCUGAGAGGAAGGUCCCCCACAUUGGAACUGAGACACGGCCCUU
Molecule: ribosomal RNA, 347 nt
Filed under: uncultured bacterium
Lineage: Bacteria
Description: bacterial SSU rRNA
Rfam family: Bacterial small subunit ribosomal RNA
Source: RNAcentral